This 599-nucleotide ribosomal RNA is filed under the name uncultured bacterium. RNAcentral's name for it is "bacterial SSU rRNA". It matches the Rfam family "Bacterial small subunit ribosomal RNA", at positions 124 to 705 of the family's 1533-position model. The record is from RNAcentral.
ACCUGCCCCAUAGUCUGGGAUACCACUUUGGAAACAGGUGCUAAUACCGGAUAAGAAAGCAGAUCGCAUGAUCAGCUUUUAAAAGGCGGCGUAAGCUGUCGCUAUGGGAUGGCCCCGCGGUGCAUUAGCUAGUUGGUAGGGUAAAGGCUUACCAAGGCGAUGAUGCAUAGCCGAGUUGAGAGACUGAUCGGCCACAUUGGGACUGAGACACGGCCCAAACUCCUACGGGAGGCAGCAGUAGGGAAUCUUCCACAAUGGACGCAAGUCUGAUGGAGCAACGCCGCGUGAGUGAAGAAGGUUUUCGGAUCGUAAAGCUCUGUUGUUGGUGAAGAAGGAUAGAGGUAGUAACUGGCCUUUAUUUGACGGUAAUCAACCAGAAAGUCACGGCUAACUACGUGCCAGCAGCCGCGGUAAUACGUAGGUGGCAAGCGUUGUCCGGAUUUAUUGGGCGUAAAGCGAGCGCAGGCGGAAGAAUAAGUCUGAUGUGAAAGCCCUCGGCUUAACCGAGGAACUGCAUCGGAAACUGUUUUUUCUUGAGUGCAGAAAAGGAGAGUGGAACUCCAUGUGUAGCCGGUGGAAUGGCGUAGAUAUAUGGAAGA